UACGAAGGGGGCUAGCGUUGCUCGGAAUCACUGGGCGUAAAGGGUGCGUAGGCGGGUCUUUAAGUCAGGGGUGAGAUCCUGGAGCUCAACUCCAGAACUGCCUUUGAUACUGAAGAUCUUGAGUCCGGGAGAGGUGAGUGGAACUGCGAGUGUAGAGGUGAAAUUCGUAGAUAUUCGCAAGAACACCAGUGGCGAAGGCGGCUCACUGGCCCGGUACUGACGCUGAGGCACGAAAGCGUGGGGAGCAAACAGG
RNAcentral lists this ribosomal RNA (253 nucleotides) under uncultured bacterium. RNAcentral describes it as "partial 16S ribosomal RNA". It matches the Rfam family "Bacterial small subunit ribosomal RNA", at positions 524 to 776 of the family's 1533-position model. The record is from RNAcentral.